UACGGAGGAUGCAAGCGUUAUCCGGAAUGAUUGGGCGUAAAGCGUGCGCAGGCGGCUUUGCAAGACAGAUGUGAAAUCCCCGGGCUUAACCUGGGAACUGCAUUUGUGACUGCAUGGCUGGAGUGCGGCAGAGGGGGAUGGAAUUCCGCGUGUAGCAGUGAAAUGCGUAGAUAUGCGGAGGAACACCGAUGGCGAAGGCAAUCCCCUGGGCCUGCACUGACGCUCAUGCACGAAAGCGUGGGGAGCAAACAGG
RNAcentral lists this ribosomal RNA (253 nucleotides) under uncultured bacterium. Its description in RNAcentral is "partial 16S ribosomal RNA". It matches the Rfam family "Bacterial small subunit ribosomal RNA", at positions 524 to 776 of the family's 1533-position model. The record is from RNAcentral.